GCAACACUGGACUGGGAAGGUGCCGUGGCUUCCCUUGGGCACUACCAGGCUUCUGAGUUACUGCUUCCUGGAGUUACCCAUGCACCAGGUGUGUGUUAGACACCAGGCCAUCCACCCAGUGACACCUUGCAGGGGCACAGACCACACGCCACAGCUCUGCUAAGCCAGGUUUGGUCCUAUUGCUGAGGAGUCCAGAGUGGAAAUCACAGAAAGGAAGAUGGAGCCUCUGGGCUGCCCCUGAGCACAGCUUAGCCAUCCCCACCCCACAACCCACCUCUCUGUCUCUGGCCAGGGCUCCACACAAGAAGGCCCGGAGAGACCUGGUGAAGAAGAGCCGGGAGUGGGUCCUAGAGAAGAAGGAGAGGCGCAGGCGCCAGGGCAAGGAGGUCAGACCUGACACGCAGUACACCGGCCGCAAGCGCAAGCCCCGCUUCUGAGGGAGCCACAUCUGAUCAGCCGGAGAGCCUGGCCACCCACACACAUCCAGUCUGCAGAUGCAGACGGUCCUGCCACCCACUCUGCUCAGAGUGGGCGCUAUCCAACCCAGGACCUGCCUCAGGAAUUUUCUGGAUUGAACUGUUUACCUCAGCAGCUAGCAACAUAGUAUUUUAGAAGAGUUGGGACGCUCUCAAAAUAUUUCUUCACUAAGAGUUGCAGGGAUCUGGGUUUGGCAGCUCACAUCCUAUAAUCGCAACACCCUCCCGGGAGUCUGAGACAAGAAGUUGGAAAGUUCCAGGCCUGUCUGGGCUACACAGCAAAAACCUGUCUUAAAAACCAAAAGGAAAAACAUUUCUAAGAAUGUUUUAUUUUGUCCUAAAUGCAUUAAAUUACUUUCUAAGUAA
RNAcentral lists this long non-coding RNA (842 nucleotides) under Rattus norvegicus (Norway rat). RNAcentral describes it as "long non-coding RNA NONRATT007403". The record is from RNAcentral. Lineage: Eukaryota; Metazoa; Chordata; Mammalia; Rodentia; Muridae.